AUGGCUGAAGAGUUCAAUUAGACUGUGACUCUGGUGAGGAGUCUUACUGGGACUGGAACUCUGGAGGAGAGUUCCACUGAACUUGGACUCUACUAUUAAUAGAAAAUUAAUUAGUAAUUAGAUUACUAAUUGACUCAAUUUGAUUGAGUAAAAAAUUUUAGAUCAAGUCUAAUUGAAUUAGAUUCAGUUUGACUUAGAUUGGUU
RNAcentral lists this long non-coding RNA (204 nucleotides) under Elaeis guineensis (African oil palm). RNAcentral's name for it is "long non-coding RNA (EGUI_LNC057511)". The record is from RNAcentral. Lineage: Eukaryota; Viridiplantae; Streptophyta; Magnoliopsida; Arecales; Arecaceae.